This is an RNA transcript of Paramisgurnus dabryanus, 3572 nucleotides long. It is a transcript of the gene named immunoglobulin-like domain-containing receptor 2, with no coding region annotated. Lineage: Eukaryota; Metazoa; Chordata; Actinopteri; Cypriniformes; Cobitidae. The record is from RefSeq and is a predicted model, not a curated record.
UUCAGUCCCGUUAGUUACGCACUGACCGACUGAAGAGCAGCCUAUAAACCAACUGAACAUGAAGGAGAAAACACGAGAAAAACACCACAAAACUCAAGGAUUUCGACUCAUCUCACUCUUAACAUGCUGGAUUUCACUCGUGGCUUUCACAGAGGUGUCACGGUGUGACGCUGUGCAGGUCUCCGUACGUGAUGAGCGGCGCUUUGCGAUGUUGUUUCAGUCUGUGGUUUUACCGUGUCAGUACACCAGCAUAUCCACGCAGACUCCGGUGGUCCAGUGGUGGUAUAAGUCAUACUGUCGUGAUCGCACCCGCGACGUUUUCCGCUUCCCUGACACACUGACGGUCCAGGGCUCUGAGCUGGGGUCUUCGGUUUACCUCGACUGCGGGGACGCCGGGCGGACGGUCCGCAUCGUAGCGUCUGGACAGGGGUCGUCCAUCACCCUCGCCGAGUACUACAAAGGAAGAGACAUCGCCAUCAUUAACAAGGCUGACCUACGCAUUGGUGAGCUGCAGUGGGGUGACAGUGGUAUUUAUUACUGUAAGGUGGUCAUCUCUGAUGAUCUGGAGGGUCAGAAUGAAGCUCAUGUGGAACUGCUCGUGUUAGGUCAGACAGGUAUGGCCGAUGAUCUUCUACCUGGGUUUAAUGUGGAGAUUAUUCCAGAGUGGGUGUUUGUGUGUGUUGUAGUAGUGGGCAGUAUUCUCUUCAUUCUGCUGGUGGGUGUGUGUUGGUGUCAGUGUUGCCCUCAUUCCUGUUGCUGUUACGUGAGAUGUUGCUGCUGUCCUGAGACCUGUUGCUGCCCACGACAUUUGUACGAAGCAGGGAAAGGAAUCAAACUGGCACCAUCAACGUCAGUGCCAGCGUACCCUACAUACUACAUACCUGGGAUGCCGACCAUGCUGCCCAUAGCACCACCGUCCCUCAUUGACCCUAACCUGACCACAGCACCAUCAGUACAGAGCAACAGCACAACAGGGCACAGUGGCUUUCAUCCGCAGCCGUCGUCAGAUCAAAACUCUCUCAAGGUGCUGCAGUAUGUGGAAAAGCAACUCGCCGAAUUCAACCCAUCAUCACCGAAACACAGCAGCAGUCGAGACACUUGCAGUAUGUCUGAACUGAGUUCAUUACAUGAUGCAGAAACUGAGUUUCAUCAAAACUACCGACAAGUCCAAAAAAAAGCUCUACCGUCCAUCCCUGACCUCGAUGAUCUGCCUGACCUCACGACUUCAGAUUUAUUGGAUCUACACGAGGGAAGAAACGCGCGCCAGCCACAGCGUAGACUCCGGGAGUUGGACGACAAUCCCAGGUGGAACCCACGCUCAGAACACUUGGAGAGAAAAGCUUUCCUAGAACGAGGACGCACGGGAUCACUGGAUGAGCUUGAGGAGUUCGCCAUGACCUAUAUGCAGCGAGGACGUCGUCACGGGGACCCGGGAUUCAGGGAUAAAGACUACAGAGCGCGGGAGCGAGAAAGAGAACUGGAACUCGAUCGUAAUCCGUUUUAUUGCUCCAAACUGCACUCUCAGAAUAAAGGACCAAUGAGACAACCACCAAGUCCCCCACCUUUACCUGGUAAAAGGCGUGGCAUUCGGGAUUCUGACCAACCAGAUCGAGAUACACGACAUCGGGAUCAGGAUAGGGGGCGAGACUACAAUGAUGCCCUUCUCAACAGUUUCUUUGAGCAUAAAGGUGAGAAAGUUUCUUCAAAAGCAGGGAGGACUGAGGAAGAUUCAGACAAAACCAGUUCCAAAAAGAGUCAAGAGCGAACGGCAAACGCCAGGUCUCCAAGCAACCGGUUACCUCGCCAAAAGACGGCAGAGGACACAGAAUCCUUGCCCCCCUACACGGAGAAAGAGCAUUCCCGUGGAGUAGAGUCCGGACAACGACCUUUUAACUACACGCGCUCCAGUCACGGCUCUUCACCAGGACGACAGGAGGAGCAGAACCGCCCUCGUAAAGUGCGUGAUAUCCGACGGACGGGUUUUCCCAGAACGCAAAUGACAUGAGAAUGAUUUCUGCUAAUGCUACACAAGACUGAAGAUCAUCAAAUAAUAAAAUAUUGAUCUAUUUUGGAUUUAGUGUUAUUCUGAAAACACGCUUCUGACCAGAGACUUGCUUGUAGUCUGAUGUCCUGAGACACGCUUUCACCACGCACGGCUUCUCUGACCCCUGCGGACCCCCUGUAUUAUCACAAACACUAAAGACAGCUUGUGCUUUAUGAAUGACUUUGUAGGGUUUCACUCCAUCGAUUGAAGUCCCAGAAAAGAAGUAAACACAGAAUUUGGGUGAUCUUCAAAUGAAAAUGUUUUAAGCGUUACUGUGUAUCUGAAUGUAGUUUGAUUUAAGUAGUAAAUAUAUUCAUCAGGACAUUUCAUAUUUUGGCUUUCUUCACCACCAACAGAAUAAGUAAAUUCAAAAUGUUUAGCUGGUAAAUUUUAAUUGACAUCUGAGAUACUACAGCAUACUGAAUAGACAGUGGAGUCUAAUAAUGUAAAGAAAUGGAUUUGUGUGCCAUGAAUAUAUUUACCAGACAGUAUUAAAGGUCUGUAUUAUUAUUAUUAUUAUAUAAGUUUAUUGCUGUGAGCUUUUCUCCAUUAUUUUUCAUUUCAAUACAGAGGUUUAACUGUCCAUUAUAAACACACACACGCACACACGCACGCACACACAAACACACACAAACACACACACACACACACACACACACACACACACACACACACACACACACACACACACACACACACACACACACGAAAUGUACAACUUUGAUUGAUUUUUCCCAAUUUAUUCACAAUUAUGCAUAACAUUUCUGUGAAAAUGACAUUUUUUCAAAAGGUUUAAAAAAUCUUUUGAGUGUUUGAGAAUCUUGCACAAAUGUUUUUUUUUCAUCAUUUAAACUUUAACUUGGUUAGGGUGGUUAAUAAGACAUUUUUCUGUGGUGUGACAAACUGAGAACAUAAUAUCAUGACUUUAAUUUAAUAAUUGCUAUGUAGUUAUUUUAGUUCCUAUAAAUGAUUUAUAGUUAACAACACUCCACACACAGACACACUGUAUUUUGUCAGAUUGAAUAAAGUGUAAGCUAGUGUAGUUUUAGUAAUGAAAGCAGCCUGAUGUCCACGUGAUUGAGUUGUAGUGAAUGCUGGAUAAAUGUUGAUCUUUCUCUCUAUGGUACCUGCUGUCAAAAGCUUAUUGACAGAAAAGAAGCAGCAGUCACUGGAUGAUGAUGUCAUCAAGCAUCACAUGUUAUGGAGUGUUAGUCUGUGUUAACUGGUUUGUGUGUUUGGUUCUGUAGGAGAUCUGAUCCUUCAUCUGACUUUUCUUUUACUCUUAAAUGUUUGUCGUUGCUCUAAAACUUAUAACAAUUGAAUCCCAAUACUUGAGAAAAUCAUUUAACUGCAGUUUGCCUGUGAGGACUGAAAAUCUUUCUUAUGUUUACACUUUUGUUUUCAUUAUUGUUGUUUUAUUUGUAUAUAAGUUUGAUCCAAGCACAUGAAUCUACUUAACUGUAUCAUUAUAUGAAACCUAAUAAAGAACAAAACAAUUCAAUUAUUUCCCUAAACGACUCAUUUCAUU